AUUGAACGCUGGCGGCAGGCCUAACACAUGCAAGUCGAACGGUAACAGGAAGCAGCUUGCUGCUUCGCUGACGAGUGGCGGACGGGUGAGUAAUGUCUGAGAAGCUGCCUGAUGGAGGGGGAUAACUACUGGAAACGGUAGCUAAUACCGCAUAAUGUCGCAAGACCAAAGAGGGGGACCUUCGGGCCUCUUGCCAUCGGAUGUGCCCAGAUGGGAUUAGCUUGUUGGUGGGGUAACGGCUCACCAAGGCGACGAUCCCUAGCUGGUCUGAGAGGAUGACCAGCCACACUGGGACUGAGACACGGUCCAGACUCCUACGGGAGGCAGCAGUGGGGAAUAUUGCACAAUGGGCGCAAGCCUGAUGCAGCCAUGCCGCGUGUAUGAAGAAGGCCUUCGGGUUGUAAAGUACUUUCAGCGGGGAGGAAGGGAGUAAAGUUAAUACCUUUGCUCAUUGACGUUACCCGCAGAAGAAGCACCGGCUAACUCCGUG
RNAcentral lists this ribosomal RNA (490 nucleotides) under uncultured bacterium. Its description in RNAcentral is "partial 16S ribosomal RNA". It matches the Rfam family "Bacterial small subunit ribosomal RNA", at positions 30 to 507 of the family's 1533-position model. The record is from RNAcentral.